Molecule: ribosomal RNA, 446 nt
Filed under: uncultured bacterium
Lineage: Bacteria
Description: partial 16S ribosomal RNA
Rfam family: Bacterial small subunit ribosomal RNA
Source: RNAcentral
AACGAACGCUGGCGGCAGGCCUAAUACAUGCAAGUCGAGCGCCCAGCAAUGGGAGCGGCGCACGGGUGCGUAACGCGUGGGAAUAUGCCUUUAGGUACGGAACAACCAAGGGAAACUUUGGCUAAUACCGUAUAAUAUCUUCGGAUCAAAGAAUUUCGCCUAAAGAUUAGCCCGCGUCUGAUUAGCUAGUUGGUGGGGUAAAGGCCUACCAAGGCGUCGAUCAGUAGCUGGUCUGAGAGGAUGAUCAGCCACACUGGAACUGAGACACGGUCCAGACUCCUACGGGAGGCAGCAGUAAGGAAUAUUGGACAAUGGGGGCAACCCUGAUCCAGCCAUGCCGCGUGAGUGACGAAGGCCUUAGGGUUGUAAAGCUCUUUUGGUGGGGAAGAUAAUGACUGUACCCACAGAAUAAGCCCCGGCUAAAUUCGUGCCAGCCGCCGCCGUAA